UUUCCGUAGGUGAACCUGCGGAAGGAUCAUUACCGAGCGAGGUCCCUCUGGGUCCAGCCUCCCAGCCGUGUCUCUUGUACCUCAUUGCUUCGGCGGGCCCGCCUCACGGCCGCCGGGGGGCAUCCCGCCCCCGGGCCGGCGCCCGACGAAGAGACCCACGAACACUGUCAGAAGAAGGCUGUCCGAGUUCAAUGAAAAAUUAUUUAAAACUUUCAACAACGGAUCUCUUGGUUCCG
RNAcentral lists this unclassified non-coding RNA (236 nucleotides) under plant metagenome. Its description in RNAcentral is "partial contains small subunit ribosomal RNA, internal transcribed spacer 1, and 5.8S ribosomal RNA". The record is from RNAcentral.